UGGGGGAUAUUGCACAAUGGGCGAAAGCCUGAUGCAGCAACGCCGCGUGAGGGAAGACGGUUUUUCGGAUUGUAAACCUCUGUUCUAAGUGACGAAAGAAAUGACGGUAGCUUAGGAGAAAGCCCCGGCUAACUACGUGCCAGCAGCCGCGGUAAUACGUAGGGGGCAAGCGUUGUCCGGAAUUACUGGGUGUAAAGGGAGCGCAGGCGGAGAAGCAAGUCAGUGGUGAAAACGAUGGGCUUAACUCAUCGACUGCCAUUUGAAACUGUUUCCCUUGAGUGAAGUAGAGGCAGGCGGAAUUCCGAGUGUAGCGGUGAAAUGCGUAGAUAUUCGGAGGAACACCAGUGGCGAAGGCGGCCUGCUGGGCUUUAACUGACGCUGAGGCUCGAAAGUGUGGGGAGCAAACAGGAUUAGAUACC
RNAcentral lists this ribosomal RNA (419 nucleotides) under uncultured bacterium. RNAcentral's name for it is "bacterial SSU rRNA". It matches the Rfam family "Bacterial small subunit ribosomal RNA", at positions 355 to 786 of the family's 1533-position model. The record is from RNAcentral.